Molecule: ribosomal RNA, 379 nt
Filed under: uncultured Actinobacteridae bacterium
Lineage: Bacteria; Bacillati; Actinomycetota; Actinomycetes
Description: bacterial SSU rRNA
Rfam family: Bacterial small subunit ribosomal RNA
Source: RNAcentral
CACGUGGGUGAUCUGCCCUGCACUUCGGGAUAAGCCUGGGAAACUGGGUCUAAUACCGGAUAUGACUUCAGGUUGCAUGACUUGGGGUGGAAAGAUUUAUCGGUGCAGGAUGGGCCCGCGGCCUAUCAGCUUGUUGGUGGGGUAAUGGCCUACCAAGGCGACGACGGGUAGCCGACCUGAGAGGGUGACCGGCCACACUGGGACUGAGACACGGCCCAGACUCCUACGGGAGGCAGCAGUGGGGAAUAUUGCACAAUGGGCGAAAGCCUGAUGCAGCGACGCCGCGUGAGGGAUGACGGCCUUCGGGUUGUAAACCUCUUUCAGCAGGGACGAAGCGCAAGUGACGGUACCUGCAGAAGAAGCACCGGCUAACUACGUG